RNAcentral lists this long non-coding RNA (1997 nucleotides) under Olea europaea subsp. europaea. Lineage: Eukaryota; Viridiplantae; Streptophyta; Magnoliopsida; Lamiales; Oleaceae. The record is from RNAcentral.
CUCGUGGAUGCCCUGCCUCGUGAAGAAGUAAAAUAAAAAAAAUUAAAAUUAAUUACAAAAGGCAAAAAUCACGAGACCCCACAAAACGCAACCCUAAAAUCAUCCAUCUCCCUCUCAAUCUCACAGUCUCUUAUUUUCUGGCCAAAUCGCCAUCAUCGAUCAUCGAAUUUCAAUUGCCAACGCUAGUCACCAAUUGUCCGCCGUCAAGGUCGCCGGUAAGUCCUCAAUCUUCUUGGAUAUAGUUUUAAUUUUUUCUUUAUGCAUUUUCUUUCAUGUUUCGAUUCUUUACUUAUCACCUCUUUCCUUUUGCAGUUUUUGUAUCUAUUAUUUCGGGCUUCGCUGCUAUUAAGGUAAUUAUCGAUCUCAAUUAUUCUUCUUCUCUUUUUUCCUUUUUAUUUAUUUAUUUAUUUUUAUACAUUUUAUUGCCUUUUCUGCUUGAUGAAAACAUCUGCUAUAAUGACAAAAAUAAAAAAAGAAUUAAAAAAAUAAAUUGAGUCGAGAUUUAAUAUCAAUUUUGGGGUUGACUUGAUUGUUCUUUAAGUUGGUGCUCAUUUGGUUUCAUUUUGUUUAACGUCAUUGGGGUGGUUUUUGCUGAUGGGGUACAACAGAUCAAGAAAAUUCCUAAUCAAGCUCUUGCUCUGUCCAAUUUUCCAUUUCAACUAUGCAUGAAAUGCAGUUUAUUAUUUAUUUGAAUUCAUUGGAGUACAAUGUCAAUGGGGCUUUGUGAGGUGAGACUUGGUAUUAGUGAGUGUAUUCAAAAUUACGAGGGAAUUGUGAGUGAGUGGAUUUAUAGGCCGAUAUGGUCUUGAUUUGUUCACCUGUUGCAUAAUCCCAGAAACAUUACAACAGUCAUUUUUAAUUCUUUAUUCAAAAUUUUUGUGCAUUAGUCUUCUAAAUAAAUUCCCAGUCAUUAACAGAUGUCAAAAAGCAUAAAGAAGUCAUUAAGUUGGAACAUUGGAUUUACUUUUUUAUAGAAUUUUGGAGUUAUAACCUAUCUUAUUGUGCUCUACUUCUCUUCCACUGCAUUCUUUGAUGCAUUCUUUAUUGAUCUUGUGAUGCUUUUAUUUUGCUACAUUCGACAGGUUGGGCUAUCUGCUUCCAACCCAAAUGCAUCUCUUCAAGUAUUGGACCAUCCAAUUCUAAAUCUUAUCGAUUACAUGGUAAAUUGCUUCUAUCAAGUUUGCCAACCUUUUCUUCCCUAGUUUUGUGUUCUCAUAUAGUUGAUGCAAAAACAGCUGGUCGAGAUUCUUCCUUCAGCACUAGUGCUGUACAUCUUGCGCAAGCUGCCUCCCAAAAUUAUGGUAUGAAGAAGAUGAUGCAUUACUGUAAUUUCUCGUGUAAUGUCAACAAAGCACAGCAGAAGAUAUGAUGAAGUUUAGUUGAUCAAAGAUGCUAGCAUAUUGGGUUCCAAAAUCGAUAAGUCUUUGGACCGUUGCCUAAAAUUUCCACCAAAAAAAUAUAUAAACAUAUAUUGAAGGUGAAGGAGAUAGGAACGGUGAAGAAGAGUAGAUUAUAAGAACCACUAAUAUACGUAAAUUUGUAUUUUUGCUGUAGAGAGAGAAGAUGUUCACAAAAAGAGAAGAUCGGCAACACAGAUUCUAGAAAAGGAUUAUUCUGUUCGUCUCGGGAUUAAAUCCUGGGAAUGCAUCCAGGGCUAAGGUGGCCCGAACUGGAUCAAAUCCCUGUCCCCUUCCCCUGUAUUCGUAGCAGAGCCCUUCUAGAAAAUUGUGUUGCACUUUCAAUUUUCAUUUUAGGGUUUGUUAAUGAUUAAUGUGUGUUUUGGGCCUUUUGACCCAUUAAUGUUAAAUAAAUAUAUUUAUUUAUUAUUUUAAUUCCGAGUCGACUCUGGUUCAACCUCGAUUCAACCAUUUGACCUUUUAACUUUUUCGGGUCAAUGAUUUGAUCGAUUUUCAAAACAUUGAUAUUAAUUGAUGAGAGGCAUUUUUUCAAUUGUCAUUAUUUUUAAUAUAAAUGUGAUUGUGUUUGUAUUCCAUUUA